CCUCCGGGAAACCAAAGUCUUUGGGUUCCGGGGGAAGUAUGGUUGCAAAGCUGAAACUUAAAGGAAUUGACGGAAGGGCACCACCAGGAGUGGAGCCUGCGGCUUAAUUUGACUCAACACGGGAAACCUCACCAGGCCCGGACACCAAAAGGAUUGACAGAUUGAGAGCUCUUUCUUGAUUUGGUGGGUGGUGGUGCAUGGCCGUUCUUAGUUGGUGGAGCGAUUUGUCUGGUUAAUUCCGAUAACGAACGAGACUCUAGCCUGUUAACUAGCCGGUGGAUCAAUAAAUUGAUAUGCGGCGAAGCGGUGUUGCUACUCUUCGGGGUGCAUCCUGCAUAGUCGCGUCCACCGAGUCUUCUUAGAGGGACAGGCGGCGUUUAGCCGCACGAGACGGAGCAAUAACAGGUCUGUGAUGCCCUUAGAUGUCCUGGGCCGCACGCGCGCUACACUGAAGGAGUCAACGUGCACUCCCAGCCCGAGAGGGCCGGGUAACCCGCUGAAAUUCCUUCGUGAUUGGGAUCGGGGUUUGCAACUAUCCCCCGUGAACGAGGAAUUCCCAGUAAGUCGCGAGUCAUGAGYCUCGYCGUUGAUUACGUCCCUGCCCUUUGUWCACACCRYCCCGUCGUCUACUACCGAUUGAAUGAUUUAGUGAGGUCUUUGGACUGGUCUCGUCCGGUGUCGUGUCCACUUGUGGUCAUCGUGUCUGGUUAUCGGGCCGGGAAGUCUGGCC
This 730-nucleotide ribosomal RNA is filed under the name Parasterope sp. J57072. RNAcentral's name for it is "SSU rRNA". It matches the Rfam family "Eukaryotic small subunit ribosomal RNA", at positions 1098 to 1780 of the family's 1831-position model. The record is from RNAcentral. Lineage: Eukaryota; Metazoa; Arthropoda; Ostracoda; Myodocopida; Cylindroleberididae.